GUCUAAGUAUAAGCAACUAUACGGUGAAACUGCGAAUGGCUCAUUAAAUCAGUUAUCGUUUAUUUGAUAGUACCUUACUACAUGGAUAACCGUGGUAAUUCUAGAGCUAAUACAUGCUAAAAACCUCGACUUCGGAAGGGGUGUAUUUAUUAGAUAAAAAACCAAUGCCCUUCGGGGCUCCUUGGUGAAUCAUAAUAACUUAACGAAUCGCAUGGCCUUGCGCCGGCGAUGGUUCAUUCAAAUUUCUGCCCUAUCAACUUUCGAUGGUAGGAUAGUGGCCUACCAUGGUAUCAACGGGUAACGGGGAAUUAGGGUUCGACUCCGGAGAGGGAGCCUGAGAAACGGCUACCACAUCCAAGGAAGGCAGCAGGCGCGCAAAUUACCCAAUCCCGACACGGGGAGGUAGUGACAAUAAAUACUGAUACAGGGCUCUUUUGGGUCUUGUAAUUGGAAUGAGUACAAUUUAAAUCCCUUAACGAGGAACAAUUGGAGGGCAAGUCUGGUGCCAGCAGCCGCGGUAAUUCCAGCUCCAAUAGCGUAUAUUAAAGUUGUUGCAGUUAAAAAGCUCGUAGUUGAACCUUGGGCCUGGCUGGCCGGUCCGCCUCACCGCGUGUACUGGUCCGGCCGGGCCUUUCCUUCUGGGGAACCUCAUGCCCUUCACUGGGCGUGCUGGGGAACCAGGACUUUUACUUUGAAAAAAUUAGAGUGUUCAAAGCAGGCCUUUGCUCGAAUACAUUAGCAUGGAAUAAUAGAAUAGGACGUGUGGUUCUAUUUUGUUGGUUUCUAGGACCGCCGUAAUGAUUAAUAGGGAUAGUCGGGGGCAUCAGUAUUCAAGCGUCAGAGGUGAAAUUCUUGGAUUGCUUGAAGACUAACUACUGCGAAAGCAUUUGCCAAGGAUGUUUUCAUUAAUCAGUGAACGAAAGUUAGGGGAUCGAAGACGAUCAGAUACCGUCGUAGUCUUAACCAUAAACUAUGCCGACUAGGGAUCGGGCGGUGUUAGUAUUUUGACCCGCUCGGCACCUUACGAGAAAUCAAAGUUUUUGGGUUCUGGGGGGAGUAUGGUCGCAAG
RNAcentral lists this ribosomal RNA (1069 nucleotides) under Cladosporium sphaerospermum. RNAcentral's name for it is "SSU rRNA". It matches the Rfam family "Eukaryotic small subunit ribosomal RNA", at positions 57 to 1135 of the family's 1831-position model. Lineage: Eukaryota; Fungi; Ascomycota; Dothideomycetes; Cladosporiales; Cladosporiaceae. RNAcentral also lists the same sequence under 1 other name. The record is from RNAcentral.